RNAcentral lists this ribosomal RNA (670 nucleotides) under Vibrio sp. MR06-83. Its description in RNAcentral is "bacterial SSU rRNA". It matches the Rfam family "Bacterial small subunit ribosomal RNA", at positions 31 to 686 of the family's 1533-position model. The record is from RNAcentral. Lineage: Bacteria; Pseudomonadati; Pseudomonadota; Gammaproteobacteria; Vibrionales; Vibrionaceae.
GUACGUUCUUGUUGCUUUUAUGCAGUCGAGCGGAAACGACACUAACAAUCCUUCGGGUGCGUUAAUGGGCGUCGAGCGGCGGACGGGUGAGUAAUGCCUAGGAAAUUGCCUUGAUGUGGGGGAUAACCAUUGGAAACGAUGGCUAAUACCGCAUAAUGCCUACGGGCCAAAGAGGGGGACCUUCGGGCCUCUCGCGUCAAGAUAUGCCUAGGUGGGAUUAGCUAGUUGGUGAGGUAAUGGCUCACCAAGGCGACGAUCCCUAGCUGGUCUGAGAGGAUGAUCAGCCACACUGGAACUGAGACACGGUCCAGACUCCUACGGGAGGCAGCAGUGGGGAAUAUUGCACAAUGGGCGAAAGCCUGAUGCAGCCAUGCCGCGUGUAUGAAGAAGGCCUUCGGGUUGUAAAGUACUUUCAGUUGUGAGGAAGGGGGUAGUGUUAAUAGCGCUAUCUCUUGACGUUAGCAACAGAAGAAGCACCGGCUAACUCCGUGCCAGCAGCCGCGGUAAUACGGAGGGUGCGAGCGUUAAUCGGAAUUACUGGGCGUAAAGCGCAUGCAGGUGGUUCAUUAAGUCAGAUGUGAAAGCCCGGGGCUCAACCUCGGAACUGCAUUUGAAACUGGUGAACUAGAGUACUGUAGAGGGGGGUAGAAUUUCAGGUGUAGCGGUGAAA